Leopardus geoffroyi (Geoffroy's cat) is the source of this 561-nucleotide long non-coding RNA. RefSeq lists it as uncharacterized. Lineage: Eukaryota; Metazoa; Chordata; Mammalia; Carnivora; Felidae. The record is from RefSeq and is a predicted model, not a curated record. The transcript is spliced from 4 exons.
GCUCUUGUGGCUGGAGAAGGGAAUGAAUACUUUUACAUCCUAACAGUCACUUGAAUUGUCCACCCUUUCUCCCUGCAGAGAAUGCACAGGAAUCACUGCCAAUGCCACAAGGUGAUGGAAAUUCAGCAACCACAUUAUCAGUUCUACCCAUUACCAUCUCAACUCAGCUGUCUCCCGUGACUGCGGCACGUUCAACAUCACCAGCACACUCAACUUCCACUGUCCCAGAAGACAUUAAUCACCCAACCACAUCAUCAGGUAAGCCAGCCAGCUAUGGUUACAACCACCAAAAAUGGGUGUGAUACUUUGUAUUUGCUGCUUCCGCAUUCGAGCCCACAGGAAGGAUGAUGAGCUGAAGCUCAGGGCCAGGGAAGAUUCACUACCAAGGGAUCUAGGGACAAUGUGAUGCCAAUGUCAGCUUCAACACCUGAUCUUAUGCUCCAUGAGGAUAGGGGUUUUUUGUUUGUUUGUUUUUUGUCUGUCUUGCUUAUCACUGUACCUCUAGAAGCUAUCGCGGUGCUUGGCAUACGGUAAUCACUCAAUAAAGUUUAUCGAGUCAAU